RNAcentral lists this long non-coding RNA (1257 nucleotides) under Pan troglodytes (chimpanzee). RNAcentral's name for it is "lincRNA". The record is from RNAcentral. Lineage: Eukaryota; Metazoa; Chordata; Mammalia; Primates; Hominidae.
CGGAGGCUUCACCCUUCGCUCCACAGGGUCGGCAGCAGGGCGGGGCCUCCGGAAGCUCCGCCCCACGCGUUCCCGGGGCGCAUGCGACGUGGGGCGGAGCGUCUGGAAGCUCUGCCCGUCGCACUGCAGAGUCGGCCGAGGCGCACGAGUUAUUUUUCACGCUCCGCCCCGCUGCAGGCUAAAGUGCGUGGGCGGGAAGCGGUGGGCCGGGUGCCAUCUGGCUCCGCCCUUCUCCUGUGGUGUGGGCCAGGCGGCGGGUUCCUCCUCCUGCAGCAGCCACAGGCUCCACCCUGAUCCUUCUCCCGCGGCUUGGAUCUUUCUCCCGCGGCUUGGAUCCAUCUCCCGCAAUCUCCGUGCGCGUCCCCAGUCAGUACCCGCAGCCUCCCGACGCACCCGCUGGCUCCAAGCCUCCCUACCCCAGGUUUCCUGGCUAAGAGAGAGACAGAGGGAGAGGGGGAAGAAAGAGAACAGGCAAUGGGAGGUUGAUGGUGAGAGCUUAUUGAAAGACAAGAGGGAGGAAACCCACAUCCUUCAUUCCCCAUCCAUUCAUUUAUUGCCUUAUUUAUUCCAUUGAAUCUUCACAGCUCUAGAAAAAGCGUGCUACAAUUAUUCCCUUUAUUAAAUGAGGUCACUGAGGCACAGACAGUUUAAGAAAUUUGCCAGCGGGCACAGUGGCUCACUCCGGUAAUCCCAGAACUUUGAGAGGGGGAGGAAGGUGGAUCCCUUGAGCCCAGGAGUUGGAGAACAGCCUGGCCAACAUGGCGAGACCCCGUUUCUACAAAAAUUAGCCAAAAUUAGCCAAACUGGCUCACGCUUGUAGUCCCAGGUACUCGAGAGGCUGAGGCCGGAGGAGCGUGUGAGCCCAGGAGGCAGUGGCUGCGCUGAGCCCUGAUUGUGCCACUGCACUCCAGCCUGGGCAACAGAGUAAGACCCUGUCUCGAAAAAAAAAAAAAGGAAAAAAGAAAAAAAGAACUGGCUGGGAGUGGUGGCUCAUGCCUGUAAUCCCAGCACUUUGGGAGGCCGAGGUGGGCAGAUCACAAGAUCAGAAGUUCGAGACCAGCCUAGCCAACAUGGUGAAACCUCAUCUCUACUAAAAAUACAAAAAUCAGCCAGGCAUGGUGGCAGGCACCUAUAAUCCCAGCUACUAGGGAACCUGAGGCAGUAGAAUCGCUUGAACCUGGGAGGCAGAGGUUGCAGUGAGCCGAGGUUGCGCCACUGCACUCCAGCCUGGACAACAGAGCAAGACUCCGUCUCAAA